AAGGGCCCUCGUUGUAACAUAAUACAACGCGUAAACUAAUGCAACUUUGUCAGGAUGUACGCUCAUCCAUGCGUGAACCAACAAACGCAGUCUAUAUAAAGAUGUACGAAUUUUUGUGAAAAUCAAUCGUUUUUGUUAUUUUCAGUUCAUAAACAGGAUAUAAAGGUUUAACAAUGAAGUGCGCUGUAGCUAUCGUUCUCGCGCUCAUCGGCAUGUCUCUCGCUCACCCAACUCCUUCUGGUUUGGGUGGAUUAGUGAAGGGAAGCGUGAAGAGAAUACGGCUGAGGCGGUUUGCUCAGCGCUCGUAGAGGCUUAGAGUACGAAUCUAACGUGUGUGGUCAUCAAUGCGCUAUUUGAAGGUUGAAUUUCUUCCACAGCCUAUCUCCCCUGGUGUUGUCAUCCGCCGUAGAACAUAGGUCCAGCGUUAUCAACCACGGAGUGUCCAUUCCUAUCAUAAAACCCGUCAUUCUGACAUCUAUUAAGCCCAUCAUAGAACCCGUCAUAAAAUACCCCAUCCUACCUCUCAUUAAGCCACUUUGGGGCGGAUUGGGAUACGGCUUUCACUAAAAUGUAACUAAGAUUGCAACUCUUGGACUUAGGCUGUUUUGUAAUAUUAAAUUACUAAUAAAAUGUUUACGAUUAAA
Molecule: long non-coding RNA, 644 nt
Organism: Melitaea cinxia (Glanville fritillary)
Lineage: Eukaryota; Metazoa; Arthropoda; Insecta; Lepidoptera; Nymphalidae
Exons: 3
Source: RefSeq, a predicted model, not a curated record